UGACCCCCUAUUUUUUUUACUGAAAAAUUUUUUGACUCCUCAUCCUAACUAUUAAUAAUCCACACGGUGUCGUUUCCGUAGCGUUUCAGGGCCGUAGAAAGCUAUUUUUGACUGGGGAGGGGCUGAAAGCGAGGGCCGAAGGCCCGAGGAAAUUUUUAAAUCUAGAGUUUCUGAAAUGCCAUUUCCUGGAAUUUGGGGAAGAUUUGACAGAAUUCUGAUGGUAAUAAAACACCGUUUUAGUAUGUCGAAAUUGACAAUUUGGUAGUACUAAAUGGGCGAACACGUAUUUAAUUAACUAUAUAUUGGAUAACUAGGAUAA
Molecule: long non-coding RNA, 319 nt
Filed under: Paramuricea clavata
Lineage: Eukaryota; Metazoa; Cnidaria; Anthozoa; Malacalcyonacea; Plexauridae
Source: RNAcentral